Armigeres subalbatus is the source of this 718-nucleotide long non-coding RNA. RefSeq lists it as uncharacterized. The record is from RefSeq and is a predicted model, not a curated record. The transcript is spliced from 3 exons. NCBI's taxonomy places the organism in Eukaryota, Metazoa, Arthropoda, Insecta, Diptera, Culicidae.
AUCAAUGAGGAACGUCACCAUAUUUGUUUUGUCGGUGAAAAUUGUGUUCUGAUUGCACAAUUAACACUGAUUUAUAGUAGUGCGUUAGUUGUAUUUCUUCAUGUUGGCAGUUUCUUCUGAAAAUGGAUUGAGGUCCCACUCGGCGCGAUAAGUUCCGAUCCCUUGAAUGACGGUGCAGUAGAAGUCACGAUCGAGCUUUUCGUACCGCGAAGGAAGCUCUAGCAGCUGGAAACUAUGUUCACGGGUGUACCGCCGCCGGGAUUCGACCACAUUACUCCGCAACAGUACAUCAUAUUAUAUGACUUAGGAGGCGGCCGGUCAGCCCCUGGUCACUGAGUCGACUAUCCGGCGACAGACUGUUUGAUUGUAUACGUGGGCUACAUUCCAUUCGGUGUCACCCAGGAGGAGACGAUGCAGUUCUUUAACGAACACCAGCCCGGUGUGGACCAAGCAGCUGCAACCCCGGUCUUGCUUGUCAGGUGACUCUUGACAACAAUUUCCUUUUUCUGGAAUCCGUUCGAUUGACGAUACUAUUCAAGCAACGGCAUUUACGUCAAGGGGUAGUAUCCUGCACCAACCUGGCAUGACCGACUUCACUGUACCAGCCGUACUACGGUCCAAAAAAAAAAUCUGCGGUUUGAUUAGUACGGUUGGGCACGAUUGUCCUUACAAUGUCGUCAUUGGUGGCUUGCCGAAUUAGUUGAAUGAGGAUCUGGUG